GAUGAACGCUGGCGGCGUGCCUAACACAUGCAAGUCGAGCGGCAGCGAGGGGUGCUUGCACCCUGUCGGCGAGCGGCGGACGGCUGAGUAACGCGUGGGAACGUGCCCCAAAGUGAGGAAUAACUGCCCGAAAGGGUAGCUAAUACCGCAUAUUAUCUUCGGAUCAAAGGAUUUAUCCGCUUUGGGAGCGGCUCGCGUCGGAUUAGGUAGUUGGUGAGGUAAUGGCUCACCAAGCCGACGAUCCGUAGCUGGUCUGAGAGGAUGACCAGCCAGACUGGAACUGAGACACGGUCCAGACUCCUACGGGAGGCAGCAGUGAGGAAUCUUCCACAAUGGGCGAAAGCCUGAUGGAGCAACGCCGCGUGCAGGACGAAGGCCUUCGGGUUGUAAACUGCUUUUAUAAGUGAGGAAUAUGACGGUAACUUAUGAACAAGGAUCGGCUAACUACGUG
RNAcentral lists this ribosomal RNA (451 nucleotides) under uncultured bacterium. RNAcentral's name for it is "partial 16S ribosomal RNA". It matches the Rfam family "Bacterial small subunit ribosomal RNA", at positions 28 to 507 of the family's 1533-position model. The record is from RNAcentral.